RNAcentral lists this transfer RNA (84 nucleotides) under Lepeophtheirus salmonis (salmon louse). RNAcentral describes it as "transfer RNA leucine (anticodon UAA)". It matches the Rfam family "tRNA". Rfam says of the family: Transfer RNA (tRNA) molecules are approximately 80 nucleotides in length. Their secondary structure includes four short double-helical elements and three loops (D, anti-codon, and T loops). Lineage: Eukaryota; Metazoa; Arthropoda; Copepoda; Siphonostomatoida; Caligidae. The record is from Rfam by way of RNAcentral.
GUCAGGUUGGCCGAGUGGUCUAAGGCGCCAGAUUUAAGCUCUGGUUCACGAACGUGAGCGUGGGUUCGAACCCCACACCUGACA